GACGAACGCUGGCGGCGUGCUUAACACAUGCAAGUCGAACGAAGAGCGAUGGAAGCUUGCUUCUAUCAAUCUUAGUGGCGAACGGGUGAGUAACGCGUAAUCAACCUGCCCUUCAGAGGGGGACAACAGUUGGAAACGACUGCUAAUACCGCAUACGAUCUAAUCUCGGCAUCGAGGAUAGAUGAAAGGUGGCCUCUACAUGUAAGCUAUCACUGAAGGAGGGGAUUGCGUCUGAUUAGCUAGUUGGAGGGGUAACGGCCCACCAAGGCGAUGAUCAGUAGCCGGUCUGAGAGGAUGAACGGCCACAUUGGGGCUGAGACACGGCCCAGACUCCUACGGGAGGCAGCAGUGGGGAAUCUUCUGCAAUGGACGAAAGUCUGACGGAGCAACGCCGCGUGAGUGAUGACGGCCUUCGGGUUGUAAAGCUCUGUUAAUCGGGACGAAAGGCCUUCUUGCGAAUAGUGAGAAGGAUUGACGGUACCGGAAUAGAAAGCCACGGCUAACUACGUG
RNAcentral lists this ribosomal RNA (510 nucleotides) under uncultured bacterium. Its description in RNAcentral is "partial 16S ribosomal RNA". It matches the Rfam family "Bacterial small subunit ribosomal RNA", at positions 28 to 507 of the family's 1533-position model. The record is from RNAcentral.